AAAGCGUGCGCAGGCGGCUUUGCAAGACAGAUGUGAAAUCCCCGGGCUCAACCUGGGAACUGCAUUUGUGACUGCAAGGCUAGAGUACGGUAGAGGGGGAUGGAAUUCCGCGUGUAGCAGUGAAAUGCGUAGAUAUGCGGAGGAACACCAAUGGCGAAGGCAGCCCCCUGGGUCAAAACUGACGCUCAUGCACGAAAGCGUGGGGAGCAAACAGGAUUAGAUACCCGUGU
RNAcentral lists this ribosomal RNA (230 nucleotides) under uncultured bacterium. RNAcentral's name for it is "partial 16S ribosomal RNA". It matches the Rfam family "Bacterial small subunit ribosomal RNA", at positions 562 to 791 of the family's 1533-position model. The record is from RNAcentral.